AGUGGAGUGACGGGGGUUAGCCCUGGAGACUCCAGCCCCUUCUCCCCCAGUGCUGUCCGACCACAGUCGGAAAGCCGAAGCAGGAAAAGCGAACGCAAGCUACUGGUUGUUUUGCUACUUGGAUGAGGGAUGAUACGAAAAUAGUGGCUGCCUUAUAUCAAAUGGCUGAUUACUUGACCCUGAAAGAAGCCGACCAAAUACUCCCACAUGAUUGUCACUAUAGGCCACCAGUCUUUGCAUGUGGGCAUGAGCAGUGUUGUGUGUGCACGGACUUCCAAUCAGUGGAAGCUGCAGACUGCCUGUUGCCCUACGCUUGGAGGCAGCCAUCUGUCAGCUGAUGCUCAGUCGCCACGGCAAUCAGAACGCUCUGCGGCCGGUCCAAUCUGUUCCACCACAGGUAGGGCUGGGGGGGGGGUGGGGGGCGUCAUCAUUAUUCCUUCUCUCUAAUCCAUCCUUUUGUAACAUCAUCGCUCACUCCUCGCCAUCUUUUCUUCUUAACCCCUGUAUCAUUAUCCCUUGGACUCCCCUUUUCAACCAUGUUUUGAGCUCAUUG
Molecule: long non-coding RNA, 553 nt
Organism: Sander lucioperca (pikeperch)
Lineage: Eukaryota; Metazoa; Chordata; Actinopteri; Perciformes; Percidae
Exons: 3
Source: RefSeq, a predicted model, not a curated record